UUCCGGUUGAUCCUGCCGGAGGCCAUUGCUAUCGGAGUCCGAUUUAGCCAUGCUAGUCGCACGGGUUUAGACCCGUGGCGGAUAGCUCAGUAACACGUGGCCAAACUGUCCUAUGGAUCGGGAUAACCUCGGGAAACUGAGGCUAAUCCCGAAUAAGGCUUCCACUCUGGAGUGAGGGAAGCUGGAAACGUUACGGCGCCAUAGGAUGUGGCUGCGGCCGAUUAGGUAGACGGUGGGGUAACGGCCCACCGUGCCGAUAAUCGGUACGGGUUGUGAGAGCAAGAGCCCGGAGACGGAUUCUGAGACAAGAAUCCGGGCCCUACGGGGCGCAGCAGGCGCGAAAACUUUACACUGCACGACAGUGCGAUAAGGGGACUCCGAGUGCGAGGGCAUAUAGUCCUCGCUUUUGUACACCGUAAGGUGGUGUACGAAUAAGGGCUGGGCAAGACCGGUGCCAGCCGCCGCGGUAAUACCGGCAGCCCGAGUGAUGGCCGCUAUUAUUGGGCCUAAAGCGUCCGUAGCCAGCCAGACAGGUCCGUCGGGAAAUCCAUCCGCUUAACGGAUGGGCGUCCGGCGGAAACCAGCUGGCUUGGGGCCGGAAGACCUGAGGGGUACGUCCGGGGUAGGAGUGAAAUCCCGUAAUCCUGGACGGACCGCCGGUGGCGAAAGCGCCUCAGGAGGACGGACCCGACGGUGAGGGACGAAAGCUAGGGUCACGAACCGGAUUAGAUACCCGGGUAGUCCUAGCUGUAAACGAUGCUCGCUAGGUGUGGCGCUGGCUACGAGCCAGCGCUGUGCCGUAGGGAAGCCGAGAAGCGAGCCGCCUGGGAAGUACGUCCGCAAGGAUGAAACUUAAAGGAAUUGGCGGGGGAGCACUACAACCGGAGGAGCCUGCGGUUUAAUUGGACUCAACGCCGGA
RNAcentral lists this ribosomal RNA (919 nucleotides) under uncultured archaeon. Its description in RNAcentral is "bacterial SSU rRNA". It matches the Rfam family "Archaeal small subunit ribosomal RNA", at positions 1 to 922 of the family's 1478-position model. The record is from RNAcentral.